UGCAUUUGGGCCACACAAUGAACGACUAUCUCUGAGAGGAAGAAUAUAAAUCAACAUGAGAGAAGCGAGAGGAAAAAUUGGCCUGCGGUUUCAUCAUAGUUGCGAAUUUAUGGCCAUGCAGAACUCUUAACAAAUGGACUCUGAAAGAAAAUAUUAAAGGGCACAUAUUUUAGCCCUUUUUUGAGAUUUAAUAGUAAUAUUAUGGUUCUUCUGAGUGUGCUAAUGUAGGUUCAGAUUAAAACGCAAUUCAGAUAUUGUUAUUAUGCUGUGUUAAAAAGUGUAAAUUUAGAGGCGUGUACACAGGUUGCUGUUUUGGGGUGUGUUGUUUAACAUGAUAAUGAGUUUUGACUGCCCGCCCAACGUAACAAGGGGGCGGAGCCAAGAGCGCGUCUGCUUUGUGCACCGCGUCACAGAGGCAGACAGUAAGAGUCAUCAUGAGUGAGAGGAACACAAUUCAACCCUACAUAUUUGACACAGACUCGGACACAGAUCAAGCAGAGUCGACUGUUGAGGAAUCUAUAAUCCGAAUGUGCCAGAAUGUGUCAGAGUGGUACAUACAAAAUAUUUUAUGUCGUUGUAUACUUUUUCAGCCGCUAUGUAACUAUGCAUGCGCCAUCCGUAAUUUGUUUGAUAAAGUUCGCGAACGUCAUGCGUUACGUCAAACAGACAAUACAUAAAGAUAUCUACAAAGAUAAAUUUUGCAUUGGUAUGAUUUAUUCGUAAUUCAUGAAUAUUGACGUUGACAAAUAUUGGCAGGUGCUCAUGUGGCAAUUGUGAAAAAAUGCCAACUGAGGCUGAAAAUGUAUGCUGCUGGGAGAUACCGCAGGUAAAUUUCCAGUUUACGUUGCUGCUCUAAAGACAUCGAAUGAGAUAAUAAACAGCAUAACUGUGUCGUGUAAUAAGGUUAGAAGACGAAUGGAUCAACUAGAAUUGCAACCCUCGUGCAUGACGGAGCAUCCAGGAAUGGAUCCCGUUUGCUUCAAUAUUUAUUCCUUGCAAAAUGCAUCGAAUAUAUACAAAGCAGACUAUGGUCCCCUGCGACUUCGUGGAGUGCAAAAACAGUGCCGCUUUUUGGCUUAUCGGAGCUUUGCGAGCUGGUGUUGGGGUUUCCUCGGGCGGAGAGUCCGUGUUGUGAUUCCUGCCUGUGUGGUGCUGAAGAUUCGGAGACAGUUUCCUGAAGAGCAGGGCAGCUAUGUGGGUUUUAGGAUAGCUAUUGAUUGAAGCGGGUCACCCUGCUGGAGAUAGCCUCCUCCAUCUCAGGUAGAUCGCAGGCUGAUGAUAGAGCAGGUGGUAUGUGAAUUCCCAACACUUCAUCAACAUAGGGUGAUGGGUCCACAAACACUUGGUUGAAGAUGAGGUCCAGCAGCUCUUUUACAUAACCUGUGCAAUAUAACAGUUAUCUCUUUAGUAACUUAAUUUUGUAUUUUGGAGUAGUGAGUUGUCAUUGUGAAUGUAAAGUGCAAUUAUUUUUUUUAUUUAUUGAAUUAUUAAAAAUACUAUAAACAUUUAUAUACAUA
Molecule: non-coding RNA, 1517 nt
Organism: Danio rerio (zebrafish)
Lineage: Eukaryota; Metazoa; Chordata; Actinopteri; Cypriniformes; Danionidae
Source: RefSeq, a predicted model, not a curated record